UGCCCAGCAACUCCUAUCCCUACCUCCUCGCGGUACUGGCCGGAGUACGAGUAGCCUUAGGAAAGAUCGGGUAACCAACUCCGGUGGGAACUCUGGUCGUAUGCUGACAGGAAAGG
RNAcentral lists this ribozyme (116 nucleotides) under Aedes aegypti (yellow fever mosquito). RNAcentral's name for it is "drz-agam-1 ribozyme". It matches the Rfam family "drz-agam-1 ribozyme". The record is from Rfam by way of RNAcentral. Lineage: Eukaryota; Metazoa; Arthropoda; Insecta; Diptera; Culicidae.